CAGAGCGUGAGACUCGGCCCGGGCGUGUCCCGCGUGUCGAGUCGACCCUCCACCCGUGUUGACUUUAUCUGUUGCUUUGGCGGACCAGGUGCCUGGCGCCGACCGGCUUCGUGCUGGCUCGUGUCCGCCAAAGACCCAACCUAACUCGUGUUGUCGUGUAGUCUGAGGAAGAAAUAUUGAAUUGUUA
RNAcentral lists this unclassified non-coding RNA (187 nucleotides) under Golovinomyces orontii. Its description in RNAcentral is "sequence contains ITS1". Lineage: Eukaryota; Fungi; Ascomycota; Leotiomycetes; Helotiales; Erysiphaceae. The record is from RNAcentral.